This 139-nucleotide ribosomal RNA is filed under the name uncultured Desulfocapsa sp. Its description in RNAcentral is "partial 16S ribosomal RNA". It matches the Rfam family "Bacterial small subunit ribosomal RNA", at positions 1244 to 1382 of the family's 1533-position model. The record is from RNAcentral. Lineage: Bacteria; Pseudomonadati; Thermodesulfobacteriota; Desulfobulbia; Desulfobulbales; Desulfocapsaceae.
GGGCAGCCACUUAGCGAUAAGGCGCGAAUCCCAUAAACCUGUCUCAGUCCGGAUUGGAGUCUGCAACUCGACUCCAUGAAGUUGGAAUCGCUAGUAAUCGCAGAUCAGCACGCUGCGGUGAAUACGUUCCCGGGCCGUU